UACGGAGGGUGCAAACGUUGUUCGGAAUUACUGGGCGUAAAGCGCGUGUAGGCGGCUUGGCAAGUCAGAUGUGAAAGCCCUUGGCUCAACCGAGGAAGUGCAUUUGAAACUGCCAGGAUAGAAUACGGGAGAGGGUUGUAGAAUUCCUGGUGUAGAGGUGAAAUUCGUAGAUAUCAGGAGGAAUACCGGUGGCGAAGGCGGCAACCUGGACCGAUAUUGACGCUGAGACGCGAAAGCGUGGGGAGCAAACAGG
Molecule: ribosomal RNA, 253 nt
Filed under: uncultured bacterium
Lineage: Bacteria
Description: partial 16S ribosomal RNA
Rfam family: Bacterial small subunit ribosomal RNA
Source: RNAcentral